AGCGGCGGACGGGUGAGCAACGCGUGAAAAACCUGCCCUUCAGUUGGGGAUAGCCCGCCUAACGGCGGAUUAAUACCGAAUAUUGAUUAGUGUCGCAUGGCACUUUAUCGAAAGAUUUAUCGCUGGGGGAUGGUUUCGCGUGAGAUUAGCUAGUUGGUGAGGUAGUGGCUCACCAAGGCAACGAUCUCUAGCCGGCCUGAGAGGGUGAUCGGCCACAUUGGGACUGAGAUACGGCCCAGACUCCUACGGGAGGCAGCAGUAGGGAAUAUUGCACAAUGGAGGCAACUCUGAUGCAGCAAUACCACGUGUGGGAUGACGCAUUUAGGUGUGUAAACCACUGUCAGUAGUGAAUAUAGUGAAUGUAGCUACAAAGGAAGCACCGGCUAACUUCGUGCCAGCAGCCGCGGUAAUACGAGGGGUGCAAGCGUUGUUCGGAAUCACUGGGCGUAAAGGGAGCGUAGGUGGAUGUACAAGUCAGAUGUUUAAUUUCGAGGCCUAACUUCGAGUUUGCAUUUGAAACUGUAUGUCUUGAAUAGAUCAGAGGUUGACGGAAUACCUGGCGUAGCGGUGGAAUGCGUAGAUAUCAGGUAGAACACCAAUGGCGAAGGCAGUCAACUGGGAUCAUAUUGACACUGAGGCUCGAAAGCGUGGGUAGCGAACAGGAUUAGAUACCCUGGUAGUCCACGCCGUAAACGAUGUUCACUAGGCGUCUGCAUUUAUGUGGGUGCCGCAGCUAACGCAUUAAGUGAACCGCCUGGGGAGUAC
Molecule: ribosomal RNA, 765 nt
Filed under: uncultured marine bacterium
Lineage: Bacteria
Description: bacterial SSU rRNA
Rfam family: Bacterial small subunit ribosomal RNA
Source: RNAcentral